CACACCCAAGUGCAUCUGGAACUGUUUUUGAGACUCAGUCCAAACUGGGACCUUUAGGCAAUACCAAAACAUAAACAGAAAUUAUGAACUGAAUGCUGAUGUGAUGCACCCUGGCUAUAACUACACUGGUUUUUUCUUUCAGACUAAAGCUUCAAACUUGUAAACCCCCACCAGCUUCACUUUACACUCCUGAGCCUGCCACUGCUCUCAGCAGACCAUCUUCACUGUACAAUGACAAACACUAGGACAGCUGUCCACAGCAUCGUGGCCAAAGUAGGAAUACCAAAAGCAGUUGGCAAAGAGAUUCCUCAACUGGCAGGAGGAUGCCAGCAGCAAGAGUGGGAAGACAAGGCUGGGAAUAAGAAGACCACUAGCACAGACAUGCUAAGAACAGCGCCCUGGUUCUUUCGGGAAUAUACAGAAGAUUCCUGUGCAGACCUGAGGGAAAAUCAUCUUACUGAUCUGUUAGCACCUCUGCUGUUAAUAUAAAUAUUGGCAAGAGUAAUAUAAAUACUGGUGGAUUCUGG
This 527-nucleotide long non-coding RNA is filed under the name Cyanistes caeruleus (blue tit). RNAcentral describes it as "lncRNA (ENSCCEG00000008491.1)". Lineage: Eukaryota; Metazoa; Chordata; Aves; Passeriformes; Paridae. The record is from RNAcentral.